ACGCUGGCGGCGUGCCUAAUACAUGCAAGUAGAACGCUGAAGAGAGGAGCUUGCUCUUCUUGGAUGAGUUGCGAACGGGUGAGUAACGCGUAGGUAACCUGCCUUGUAGCGGGGGAUAACUAUUGGAAACGAUAGCUAAUACCGCAUAACAAUGGGUGACUCAUGUCAUUUAUUUGAAAGGGGCAACUGCUCCACUACAAGAUGGACCUGCGUUGUAUUAGCUAGUAGGUGAGGUAACGGCUCACCUAGGCGACGAUACAUAGCCGACCUGAGAGGGUGAUCGGCCACACUGGGACUGAGACACGGCCCAGACUCCUACGGGAGGCAGCAGUAGGGAAUCUUCGGCAAUGGGGGCAACCCUGACCGAGCAACGCCGCGUGAGUGAAGAAGGUUUUCGGAUCGUAAAGCUCUGUUGUAAGUCAAGAACGAGUGUGAGAGUGGAAAGUUCACACUGUGACGGUAGCUUACCAGAAAGGGACGGCUAACUACGUGCCAGCAGCCGCGGUAAUACGUAGGUCCCGAGCGUUGCCCGGAUUUAUUGGGCGUAAAGCGAGCGCAGGCGGUUUGAUAAGUCUGAAGUUAAAGGCUGUGGCUCAACCAUAGUUCGCUUUGGAAACUGUCAAACUUGAGUGCAGAAGGGGAGAGUGGAAUUCCAUGUGUAGCGGUGAAAUGCGUAGAUAUAUGGAGGAACACCGGUGGCGAAAGCGGCUCUCUGGUCUGUAACUGACGCUGAGGCUCGAAAGCGUGGGGAGCGAACAGGAUUAGAUACCCUGGUAGUCCACGCCGUAAACGAUGAGUGCUAGGGGUUGGAUCCUUUCCGGGAUUCAGUGCCGCAGCUAACGCAUUAAGCACUCCGCCUGGGGAGUACGACCGCAAGGUUGAAACUCAAAGGAAUUGACGGGGGCCCGCA
RNAcentral lists this ribosomal RNA (910 nucleotides) under uncultured bacterium. Its description in RNAcentral is "bacterial SSU rRNA". It matches the Rfam family "Bacterial small subunit ribosomal RNA", at positions 33 to 925 of the family's 1533-position model. The record is from RNAcentral.